This is a long non-coding RNA of Myotis daubentonii (Daubenton's bat), 1499 nucleotides long. RefSeq lists it as uncharacterized. Lineage: Eukaryota; Metazoa; Chordata; Mammalia; Chiroptera; Vespertilionidae. The record is from RefSeq and is a predicted model, not a curated record.
GGACGAAAGGGGCCACAUGCUGACCUGACAGGCUCAGGGGAGGCCUGCAUGGCAGUCUUGCAAACUCGGAGACCUAAAGUAACCACAAAGGAUGGUCUGAAAUUAAACUUUAACUAAGAGCAGUUAUGGUGGGCAGUUACAUCCUGGGCCAGUAUCUUCACUGACAAGGUCAACCUUUACCUUAACUGAGCCUAUCUGUCUUUUUGCAUCUAUGAUAACAUACCCUUGAAAUAUCUGGGUAACUUGUGACUUCCCUUUAUCUGGAGCCCCUGGGGCACAACCAAAUGUGCUGGGCACCAAGGACAGAUACCACAAAUUCCUUCAUCAUCAUGUUAAUUGUUCCUGCACCCACCUAAGUAUGUGUCCAUCAUUUUACUUUUUAUCCAAUCCCAGGGGUUUCCCUGCUUUGCUUAUCCCUCCUCCUUAACCUAUCGCCAAUGAAUUUCAUGUAACCCACCUAUGUUCCUCCUUUGACUGAAAUGUAUAAAUACAAAUGUAACCCCGCCAUUCUGCGGAGCACUAUCUCAAUUCAUUGAGGUUCUGCUUCCCGGCAUAUGUCGACAGUUUGGCUCAAAUAAACUCACAAAAAUUCUUUACAGGUUUCAAUGGUUUUUUCAUGUUAACAUUAAUUGGCGUAGUCGGCAGGAUUCCAAAGAAGCUCACCCAGGACCAUCCCUUGGACUUUGACUCGGUGCUAGGAUCCAGCAAAGGGCCCAUUGAGCCCGCCGGUUCUCUGCCCAUUGGGUGAACGUGGUGCACUCCCGGGCGAUGAAGAUUUCAAAGAUCAUGGCUUAUAACCAGGAGAUUUGGUGUAUUGGAAAAGACACCAAAUAAAAGACUCUCUCCAACCUCGUUGGAGAGGACCUUACCAGGUAUUACUAACUAACCCAUGUGCAGCUAAACUUAAAGGAGUUAGCUCUGGAUUCACAUUUCUCAUUUAAAAGGGCACCUGACUGUGAAUGGACAUCUACUCCCAUCUCUGACACCCAUCUCCGUCUGCAGCGGAUAUCAAAGACUUUUCAAGGACAAGAAACAGCUGAGGCCUUUCCAGGAUGAGAAGUCGCUGACCACGGAGGCAGACAGCUAUCCCAAGAUGAUUUCAACAAGGCCUGUAUGCUCACAAACUGAUAUUGUUAGCCGUGGUGAUUCAAAGUUUUUAAUGGGGAAUGUUAUCUGUCUUUAUUGUUUAAAUAUGUGUCUUUGUUGUCUAAAAUUGUUUAGCUAGUGAAAUUUCUGUUUGUGUCUCUUAAAAAAUAUGAAUGUAUUGCUAAUCUGAGGAAUGUUAAUUAUUUACAUGUCACCUAAAAAAAUUAAGGCUGAGAGUUCUAACUAACUGGAAGUAUGGCUUUGGUGUGAUGGGAGGAAGAUAAAGAGAAAUACUUAAUGGAAGGUCUGAGGCAUGGUUAUGCAUUUUUGAAGGACAUAGGAAGAAGGUUUGAAGGCUAAUUUGAAAGUGUAAAAUUUGUGAAGGUUGUGUAUGUGAUGAGAAGGAAAAGAAA